RNAcentral lists this ribosomal RNA (429 nucleotides) under Bacillota bacterium. Its description in RNAcentral is "Firmicutes bacterium partial 16S ribosomal RNA". It matches the Rfam family "Bacterial small subunit ribosomal RNA", at positions 355 to 776 of the family's 1533-position model. The record is from RNAcentral. Lineage: Bacteria; Bacillati; Bacillota.
UAGGGAAUCUUCCACAAUGGACGCAAGUCUGAUGGAGCAACGCCGCGUGAGUGAAGAAGGUUUUCGGAUCGUAAAGCUCUGUUGUUGGUGAAGAAGGAUAGAGGCAGUAACUGGUCUUUAUUUGACGGUAAUCAACCAGAAAGUCACGGCUAACUACGUGCCAGCAGCCGCGGUAAUACGUAGGUGGCAAGCGUUGUACGGAUUUAUUGGGCGUAAAGCGAGCGCAGGCGGAAUGAUAAGUCUGAUGUGAAAGCCCACGGCUCAACCGUGGAACUGCAUCGGAAACUGUCAUUCUUGGGUGGAGAAGGGGAGAGUGGAAUUCCAUGUGUAGCGGUGGAAUGCGUAGAUAUAUGGAAGAACACCAGUGGCGAAGGCGGCUCUCUGGUCUGCAACUGACGCUGAGGCUCGAAAGCAUGGGUAGCGAACAGG